This 74-nucleotide transfer RNA is filed under the name Diplolaemus darwinii. Its description in RNAcentral is "tRNA-Ile". The record is from RNAcentral. RNAcentral also lists the same sequence under 1 other name. Lineage: Eukaryota; Metazoa; Chordata; Lepidosauria; Squamata; Leiosauridae.
GGAAGUGUGCCCGAACUGCAUCAAGGGUUACUUUGAUAGAGUAUUAUAUAUGGGUUAAAUCCCCAUCACUUUCU